Molecule: RNA transcript, 164 nt
Organism: Propithecus coquereli (Coquerel's sifaka)
Lineage: Eukaryota; Metazoa; Chordata; Mammalia; Primates; Indriidae
Gene name: thymosin beta-15A pseudogene
Exons: 1
Source: RefSeq, a predicted model, not a curated record
AGCCUUCAGGCUUUCUUUUAGUCAAGAUGAGUGACGAGCCAGAUUUGUCGGAAAUGGAGAAGUUUGACAGGUCAAAACUGAAGAAAACUAAUACUGAAGAAAAAAAUACUCUUCCCUCUAAGGAAACUAUCCAGCCGGAGAAAGACGAUGUUCAAACAUCGUAA